RNAcentral lists this long non-coding RNA (517 nucleotides) under Citrus x clementina. Its description in RNAcentral is "Citrus clementina (C. clementina) long non-coding RNA (CCLE_LNC004816)". The record is from RNAcentral. Lineage: Eukaryota; Viridiplantae; Streptophyta; Magnoliopsida; Sapindales; Rutaceae.
AAGUAUUGUACUAGAAAACAUUGUAAAUGUAUGCCUAUUUAAACUUCAAGUAUAUGUAACACUUUCAAAGUCAUAAGUGUAAAACUAUUAUAUUUAAGAUGUUUUGAGUUUAUAAAAAUAAACAACUUAACACUUCUACUCAGACGUUAAAAAAUAAAAAACAAACAUAUUAUUCUAAUAUAUACAUUCAUACCCACUUAGACUCAUUCAAGUUUAAGAUAUAAAAAAAAAAAAAGUGCUACCUAGAAAUCCUUAAUAGCAAGUCUUGUCUUUUAUUUCAUUAAGGGUAAAAUCCUAAAUGUGGCAAAUGGCGUGUUAUAAGAAUUUUUGAGGGGUGCCAAAUGCCCAAUUCAUUCAUAUUAGGCUUCUGAAAGAAGGCCCAUUCAUUCACGACUUCGGGUCGCCCACCUGCUUGAAUCCGUUUGUGUUUUUAACGUUGCAAGUAUACCCAUGUAAGUAAAAACAAACAAAUUAACAAAUAUACGUGUAAUGUAUCUGUUAAAAAAAAAUCGAUUAA